UAUUUAUACAAAAAUAAAAAAAAUAUAUUAUAUAAUAUAAAAUUAAUUGCCAAAAAAAAAUUGUUAAAUUAACGUACCUUGACCAAAUGAUCGAAAAGUCUGGCAUAAAUGUCCUUGGCCAAGGCGUCUCGUGUAUAAAGGGCUUGUUCAACGUUUAAAGUCACGUCUACGCUUUCAGACUGGCUUCCCCAUUUUGAUUCGAAUUCACGAGACGUCAACUUGUGCGACAACUGUUCCGCAGAGAUUCCGAAUAGUAAAGAUACUACAAGAUGAGUGUCAUUUAACAACUCGGUAAGGGCACAUAACCAUGCCCUUUAGAUUAAAUCAAUUUCCCUAUGUUCUUAAAUUUUUAACAAAUGAGAAAUAUAAUGAAUAUACUAACAUUGCUUAUCAGCAACUUGUGAAUAAUUUUCUUUCUCAACGAAUUGAAUAUUUCCAACAUGAAGUAUCCCUGCUACCAACUUGAAGAUGUCAGAUACUUCCCUGUUUUGUAUUCCCAUAACUCGUAAAGCUAAAGAAA
RNAcentral lists this long non-coding RNA (520 nucleotides) under Polistes fuscatus (common paper wasp). RNAcentral's name for it is "uncharacterized LOC122513189". Lineage: Eukaryota; Metazoa; Arthropoda; Insecta; Hymenoptera; Vespidae. The record is from RNAcentral.